Molecule: long non-coding RNA, 1164 nt
Organism: Mauremys reevesii (Reeves's turtle)
Lineage: Eukaryota; Metazoa; Chordata; Testudines; Geoemydidae
Exons: 6
Source: RefSeq, a predicted model, not a curated record
GAAGAUGCCAGCUGCCCUCAGGGCUCUGCUUCCUGGCUCCAGUCAGCCCACUCCAUGUUUCUACCCCCGGGCAAGUGAUUUUUUUCAAGUAUUUUUGAGAACCUGCAUCUGCCACCAGCCUGGAAGGAGCCUGAUCCUUUUGAGAUGCACUGCCACUGGAGCAAGCUGUAAUUGAACCAUCUGGGACCAAUAAAGGCUUGAAUGGUACUAGAAGAACAGAGGACUUUGGAACAACCAAUUAGGAGACUGACAUCAGAGAAUUCAUACCAGCUUUUACCUGAAGCCUACCACAUGCUAGUAGAGAACCUUAGGAGCUUCACCAGUGUUGUAUAAGCACAGAUCAGGAAAGGUCCUGGAGUGACAGUCCUGGAGAACAAAGCCCAGCUGCAGCAAGCCCAAAGAUAAACGUGUCACACAGCCCUGCCAUCGUCGUCCUCCUGCAGUCCUGAUACCUUCUGUCUCCUGAAGCUUAGCUGGAGAUUCUUCCCAAAGACAAUCUAAGAACACCCCUGCUCCUCUUCUCUGUCCAUUGAAGGAACAAAGGAAGCAGCCAGUAAGACUACUGAGAGCAUGUGAUGGCAGCUGUUCUUGGUAAGGAUACAGCACUUCCUGUUCUCAACAUUAUUGAGUUUGUCUUGGGGAAAAUCAGACAAACAGAAUAAAUCAAAAGCUACCAUACACACUCCAGUACAUUCAUCACAGCAGAGAUUGUUAUGGACCGCAGUAUCAAAACCGUUAAAGCCGCCAAAGAGAUUAAUACUCGAUGUCUAUUAGAGCAGGGCAAAUGACAGAUAAAUAAUGUAUUUAAUGAGUAUCACCUGGUUUUCAUUUGUGAAUGAUCCAGGUACAGAUAAUAUUUUCAAUGCUGUUAUUCAAACGUAUGUGUUGAAUAUUUUCAGUGACUAAUUCUUGGUCACUGGCUUGUUAACAAGCAGUUUGUUACAAGUAUUUGAAAUGAAAUCCUGUCUUCAACUAAAUCAAUGGCAAAACAUCCACUGACUUCAGAGGGGCCAGGAUUUUAUCUUUGAUGUUCUAAAUUCAACCUGUUUUGAUCGGACAUAAGUCAUAUUGUGUGUUUCUGCUCCCUUGGUUGGAGGAGUGUGACAGUUAGAAUCAUGUUUCUGAUACAAACACUUGCAAUUAAAAAUUUAAAAUUCAAUAAUA